This 204-nucleotide unclassified non-coding RNA is filed under the name uncultured fungus. Its description in RNAcentral is "sequence contains ITS1, 5.8S rRNA gene". The record is from RNAcentral. Lineage: Eukaryota; Fungi.
GUAUUGGUAUUUCGACCUGAAGGUCUACUGUGUUACAUUCUGGUACUUUAAGGUGUGUGUAAAAAGCAUAGGCAAAGGGUUUCCCCUUUGACCUACAAAAGGUGCACAGGUGGGUUGAAAGGCGGAGUGCACAUGCUCCCUUGCGAGAGCCAGCAACAUCCUGAGGAUUCAAUAAUGAUCCUUCCGCAGGUUCACCUACGGAAA